GGGGUUGUGGCUCAGUGGUAGAGCACUCACCUAGCAUGUGCAAAGCCCUGGGUUCGAUCCUCAGCACCACA
RNAcentral lists this transfer RNA (71 nucleotides) under Marmota monax (woodchuck). Its description in RNAcentral is "tRNA.Ala". It matches the Rfam family "tRNA". Rfam says of the family: Transfer RNA (tRNA) molecules are approximately 80 nucleotides in length. Their secondary structure includes four short double-helical elements and three loops (D, anti-codon, and T loops). The record is from RNAcentral. Lineage: Eukaryota; Metazoa; Chordata; Mammalia; Rodentia; Sciuridae.